CAACUAAAAUAAUUAUUUAAAAAUGUUAACGCACACACACGUGCGCAGACACACAUACUAUAAACGUAUCCAGUCAAACAAAAUUAUAAACACAAGGCAGGGAAGACACACACGAAUACAGAGAGGCAUAUAUAAAGGUAAACGUACACAACAUGAUACAAAAAGUCUCUUAAGCAGUUUCGAUGUUCUCGCAUAUUUUCAGUAAAAUAUAUAUCGGAUCGACAGACAGACGUGCCAAACAGAGCUUUAUAGCGAAUAUUACUUGAAAUUCGUCACUCUUUAUCGUUUUGCAUCCUGUUCCUUAGUGUAAUUCAAGCCAGGAGAAACGAACAAUAUAAAUAUAAGAAUUACGUCUCGCGUGACUGGAAACACAUCUCGUGGAACACAAUCGGUGAUAGUACAAGGAACAUCAUAUCAACGAUGCCACAAAGAAACGAGCAUUGGAUAAUGAGAUUUUUUGGAAUGAAAAGUAAUAUUGCAGAAUGUAGAUUAUGUAACUAUAAGACAUCACUAUUUGAAUCCGUAGAAGAUAUGCGCCUUCAUUUAACUCAUAUACAUAACCAUGGCUGGAAAGAAUCUAUGGACCAAUUAACUAUCCCCUGGCCUCAUUUGAUUUGGUGUUACUUCUACAUAAGCAAUGAUGGCAACGCAAAAUGUUGUAAAGAAAAUUGUCAAGAAACGUAUAAUUCCAGUUUAAAUAAGAUAAGAGAUAUGAAACUACAUUUUGUAGAUGCCCAUAUAUCUCGACUUUCUGGCUGCAUUUAUGAAUGGACAGUACCACACUAUAAAAUAAUUGAACGUGAGCGCAACCAUCGCUACUUAGUGAGAAAAUGCGAAAUACCUAAUUGUAAUUUUGUAUAUCGCAAAAACAUGGGCACGUUUGUAUUAUUAUUUGGGCAUUUAAUUUUUGACCAUAAUUUAAUACCUGACCGAUCAAUAAGAUUGUUCAAAGAUUUUUCUGGAAAUUUUUGUUUGCGAUAAUGAUUUACGGUGAUGAGAAGAUUAAUGAAAAUUUUAACAACAUGGACGCAGGUUUCGAAAGAAAUGAGGUUAACGUAUUAUCAUGGACAUGGACAAUAAAAUAAAAUAAGAAAUUUAUAUUUUUGACUUUAUCGCUCUAUCU
Molecule: non-coding RNA, 1123 nt
Organism: Nylanderia fulva
Lineage: Eukaryota; Metazoa; Arthropoda; Insecta; Hymenoptera; Formicidae
Source: RefSeq, a predicted model, not a curated record